RNAcentral lists this ribosomal RNA (254 nucleotides) under uncultured bacterium. RNAcentral's name for it is "partial 16S ribosomal RNA". It matches the Rfam family "Bacterial small subunit ribosomal RNA", at positions 524 to 776 of the family's 1533-position model. The record is from RNAcentral.
UACGGAGGGUGCAAGCGUUGUUCGGAAUUACUGGGCGUAAAGCGUGUCUAGGUGGAUUAGAAAGUCGUGUGUGAAAGGCUGGGGCUCAACCCCAUGCAUUGCGCUCGAUACUACUAGUCUUGAGAUAUAGAGGGGUAAGCGGAAUACCUGGUGUAGCAGUGAAAUGCGUAGAUAUCAGGUGGAACAUCAGAGGCGAAAGCGGCUUACUGGCUAUGGUCUGACACUGAAGCACGAAAGCGUGGGUAGCAAACGGG